ACCAUUUUCUACCCUCCAGCCAAGUGAAUAUCAGUUGCUAACAUUUCCUUUUGAUAUCUACAUCGUGAUCUGACUCCUAACACUUCAUUACGCUGUAUCUUUUAUAUCUGUGUGUCUCAGCCAAAACUUUCAAUGCAGCUUAAAGUCAGAAUAUCUACUUAAUUGUAUUUAUUUGGGCUGGGAAAGAUUUCCAAACAUGCAUGCCCUAGCAGAGCAAAACUGGUCUUGGGUCCAUCAUUGAAUUUGAAAAUGUAUUUAUGAGUUGGGGCCAUUCAACCGAUCAAUCAACUCACCAGAGACUAUCUUCCUACACCAACUCCUUCUAAACACAAGUAGCAAAUUAAAACUGGUUCUUUUCUGUAUCUUUUUCACAGUUGAAAUCAGAAUAAUUUCAAGAGCAGGCUCGCUUUGGCUGCACGUGUACUAAAGUUGGAACAGUACAGAAAGAUUAGCGUGGCCCCUCAGCAAGGAUGAUGUGCAGAUCCAUGGAGACUAGUUUCAGGAGCUAAAUCAGAGUGUUGUGAAUAGUCAUAGAAGCAAUAGCGAAGAGCAUCUGUCACGGAGAAAUGAGCGGUCCUUGGCCACAGCACAUAAAGCUGCUCCAUGGAGCUGGGGAGCGUGCCCUGUGGUCUGUGCAGGGGCUGAAAAUGUCAAGACUUGAGAAGGACUCGUCUCCUCUGUUCCCUUCAGGAUGUUUUAAUGAUUACCAUGUGAUUACAGAUACACUGUUUUCUUUUACUUCUUGAAAGACGUGGGGAGAUUAAAGCAAACAGACAACUGAUACCAAAUUGCUAAAUUAAAGGUAAAAGUUGGCACUUCUUACAUAAAUAGUGUUUUUUGUAACAUUACGUUUGAAUUCUUUAAGAAAGAGCUGCAUUUUCAAAAUGUGUCCUUGCGGUGCCUGGCUGGCUCAGUCGGCAGAACACGUGACUCUUGAUCUCAGGGUCAUGAGUUUGAGCCCCACUUGAGCAUGGGGCCUACUUAAACAUG
RNAcentral lists this long non-coding RNA (990 nucleotides) under Felis catus (domestic cat). The record is from RNAcentral. Lineage: Eukaryota; Metazoa; Chordata; Mammalia; Carnivora; Felidae.